Acanthopagrus latus (yellowfin seabream) is the source of this 835-nucleotide long non-coding RNA. RefSeq lists it as uncharacterized. The transcript has 3 exons. Lineage: Eukaryota; Metazoa; Chordata; Actinopteri; Spariformes; Sparidae. The record is from RefSeq and is a predicted model, not a curated record.
UCAAGUGACUGCGACUUUUUAAUUAUGUCAGAAAGCGCAGAGUUACUAUCUCUUGCGCAAGAUAGUGAGUCGCGCACAACUUAUAUAUAAAAAAAACAAAAAAACAAAAAAAACAACAAAACAUCCAUGUCAUGCCAGGGCCCCUUACUCUAUUUUAAGUGUGCCACACUGGCUUCCUGCCAUUUUGUCAUUUACAUGGAUCCUCUCCGCCAUUACGUAUUUUUUGGUUGUUGUUUUGUCUCUCUUUUUCUUUUUUUUUUCUCUUUUCUUUUUUCUUUUUUUUUUUUCCUCUCACCAUAUUGGUUGGUUGUCUGACACAAUCAAUCAUCAAGUGUAUGCCAAUGAACCCGCCUCUUCACCUCUGGGGCAGACAUUUUGAGGUUCUUAUCUAGCGCGAUUGAGCUUCAACAACAAAGGAUGAUAAUUUUCAAUAGUUUGCAUCUUUAAAGGUCACAUUGCUUCAUUGUUCAAUUAAGAAUUCUCAAUGACCCAUCCUCAAGGAUUGUUUUCUUUCUCAACAUUUGGGAGGUCCAGGAAAUUGUCAAUAAGUGCAACAGAAAUUCUGUCAUGCGUCAGGAGGCUUCAGGUCAAUACAGAUGUUGCACUCUGCACAGAAAGUGCAUAUCCAAAGGAAAGUUCCUGGGGCAUUGUGUGCAAGGACUUUGGAAUCCCCAAUCUCCUAAGUAAUAGAACAAGAAUAAAAAAUGCCUACUUGCCACAUCAGCAGGUAAUGUCAUGUCAUGUCAUUAUCCGUAACCGCUUAUCCCUUUCCAUGGGGUCGCGGGAUGUUGUUGCUGGAGCCAAUCCCAGCCUUGUCUCAGGGCGAGGGCAGGGU